GAUGAACGCUGGCGGCGUGCCUAAUACAUGCAAGUCGAGCGAACAGACGAGGAGCUUGCUCCUCUGACGUUAGCGGCGGACGGGUGAGUAACACGUGGAUAACCUACCUAUAAGACUGGGAUAACUUCGGGAAACCGGAGCUAAUACCGGAUAAUAUAUUGAACCGCAUGGUUCAAUAGUGAAAGACGGUUUUGCUGUCACUUAUAGAUGGAUCCGCGCCGCAUUAGCUAGUUGGUAAGGUAACGGCUUACCAAGGCAACGAUGAGUAGCCGACCUGAGAGGGGGAUUAGGCACAAUGGAACUGAGACACGGUCGAGACUACUACGGGAGGCAGCAGUGGGGAAUAGGGGGCAAUGGGCGAAAGCAUGAUGGAGAAAUGCCGAGUGAGUGAUGAAGGUUUUCGGAUUGUAAAGCACUGUAAGUUGGGACGAAGAAAAGUGAGUGAAUACAUGGAUGUUUUGACGGUACAGAAAGAGUAAGCAACGGCUAACUACGUG
RNAcentral lists this ribosomal RNA (497 nucleotides) under uncultured bacterium. RNAcentral's name for it is "partial 16S ribosomal RNA". It matches the Rfam family "Bacterial small subunit ribosomal RNA", at positions 28 to 507 of the family's 1533-position model. The record is from RNAcentral.